Molecule: ribosomal RNA, 841 nt
Filed under: uncultured bacterium
Lineage: Bacteria
Description: bacterial SSU rRNA
Rfam family: Bacterial small subunit ribosomal RNA
Source: RNAcentral
GGAUCCAGACUUUGACUAUGGCUCAGGAUGAACGCUGGCGGCGUGCCUAACACAUGCAAGUCGAACGGAGCUGCUUUGAUGAGAUCUUCGGAUGGAUUUAAAACAGCUUAGUGGCGGACGGGUGAGUAACGCGUGGGUAACCUGCCUCACACUGGGGGAUAACAGUUAGAAAUAGCUGCUAAUACCGCAUAAGCGCACAGUUCCGCAUGGAACAGUGUGAAAAACUCCGGUGGUGUGAGAUGGACCCGCGUCUGAUUAGCCAGUUGGCGGGGUAACGGCCCACCAAAGCGACGAUCAGUAGCCGGCCUGAGAGGGUGAACGGCCACAUUGGGACUGAGACACGGCCCAAACUCCUACGGGAGGCAGCAGUGGGGAAUAUUGCACAAUGGGGGAAACCCUGAUGCAGCGACGCCGCGUGAGUGAAGAAGUAUUUCGGUAUGUAAAGCUCUAUCAGCAGGGAAGAAAGUGACGGUACCUGAAUAAGAAGCCCCGGCUAACUACGUGCCAGCAGCCGCGGUAAUACGUAGGGGGCAAGCGUUAUCCGGAUUUACUGGGUGUAAAGGGAGCGUAGACGGCAAGGCAAGUCUGAAGUGAAAGCCCGGUGCUUAACGCCGGGACUGCUUUGGAAACUGUUUGGCUGGAGUGCCGGAGAGGUAAGCGGAAUUCCUAGUGUAGCGGUGAAAUGCGUAGAUAUUAGGAAGAACACCAGUGGCGAAGGCGGCUUACUGGACGGUAACUGACGUUGAGGCUCGAAAGCGUGGGGAGCAAACAGGAUUAGAUACCCUGGUAGUCCACGCCGUAAACGAUGAUUGCUAGGUGUAGGUGGGUAUGGACCCAUCGG